Molecule: transfer RNA, 67 nt
Filed under: Otolemur garnettii (small-eared galago)
Lineage: Eukaryota; Metazoa; Chordata; Mammalia; Primates; Galagidae
Rfam family: tRNA
About the family: Transfer RNA (tRNA) molecules are approximately 80 nucleotides in length. Their secondary structure includes four short double-helical elements and three loops (D, anti-codon, and T loops).
Source: Rfam by way of RNAcentral
GUGCCUGUGGCUCAAAGUAGGGCGCCAGCUCCAUAUGCUGGAGGUGGCAGGUUCAAACCCAGCCACA